Molecule: non-coding RNA, 111 nt
Organism: Podarcis lilfordi (Lilford's wall lizard)
Lineage: Eukaryota; Metazoa; Chordata; Lepidosauria; Squamata; Lacertidae
Source: the annotation of a GenBank genome assembly
GUAGCACCUUAUAGACUAGCUAAGUUUGUUCUGGUAUAAGUUUGCGUGUGCAUGCACAUUUCUUAAGAAAGCUUAUACCAGAACAAACUUAGUUGGUCUAUAAGGUGCUAC